This is a long non-coding RNA of Tribolium castaneum (red flour beetle), 2828 nucleotides long. RefSeq lists it as uncharacterized. The record is from RefSeq and is a predicted model, not a curated record. NCBI's taxonomy places the organism in Eukaryota, Metazoa, Arthropoda, Insecta, Coleoptera, Tenebrionidae. The transcript has 2 exons.
UUAGCGGCUGAGCAGGUUGGCCAAAAAGGUGAUCAUUGCACUGCCCGGAACCGCCCCCUUUUUAUGUUGGUCAUAGGCGAGUACCAUGAACAUAAUAUCCAUUGCACGCUUGGUGUUGAAUGACCUGCGGGACUCGAAGUAGACGCUGGACGGAUAUUACCGGGGUACUCAUUGCACAACCUAAGACAAGUGGUGGAUGACAAGGCAGCGUUGCCUAUUGCACGUCAGAACCGCGAGGUGGUCUCUCGAUUGCUGCUGAUCCAGAGACAAGCGGGCUGGAUGGUAUCUAUGAGCAAAGGGGUAACCCUUUGCCUGGUUUUCCCCUAUGCUCCUGGAGUCCUAUUGACCAGGACUGCGACUGUUAACCUUUUGAACCCCUUGGACAGAGCUCAACCGAUUCUAUUCGAAUUACAUAUUUUAUUGAUGGUAGAUUUGCAUAAUUAUUUUGGGUUAACGACUGUUACAUUUAUUGGUUCACACAUGGCGAUUGUGGACGUCUCACUCUGAUGGACUGGAUUACUCACACCCCCAUUUUAUUUUUCAGACGUUGUCUUAACAACAAGUGGUUGAGUACUUUCAAAGUUAGUAAAGUAGUGAGUUGCUAAAAUUGCCGCCGGUCCAAAGAUUUUCCUGAUAUUUGAUAAGCAUAUGUUUGCAAUUUGCGAUAAUUACGCUUCUGUACAAAAAUCGGUUCAUCAAAGGCCAUUGUAAUGGAUUUUGCACGUGUUCAAAUUAACUGUUAUUUUGCGUUUCAAAAAUGGCCCUACACAAUGAAUUACCAAAAUUAAUUUGUAUCAAUACAAUGUUAUUAAAACAAGGAACUUAACUCUGAAGGUUGAAAAAAGUAAGAGUAAAGCUAAAUUAUUAAGAAACAACAUGAAAAAGCAUUUAAGAAAUAAAAGAAAAUUUUUAAACAAACAUUAUAUUGAUGAUUUUAAUUUCAUUUUUAGACCACCCCGAGAAUCUGAUAGAUUUACCAAUCACAGGUACGUACCACUUAAUGGUUUUGCAAUUAAGUUGACAACAACGAAAAAUAUAGCGGUUGGGCAUUAUUUAUCGUUGCCAACCUAAAACAUUAAAUAAGUGAAAAUUGCAGAUGAAGCAGACCGUCAGACGUUCAACUUUGAAGAACUACUUGAAAAUACUAAACCAAUGAAACUUAAUUUGCAAGGAAUUUUUGGGGAAAGCUUCGAAAUUCUUGACUCCCAUAACGAAGUUUUUCAGUUUUUGAUUUAUACAAGUAUGUCGAACCAUUAAAUGUUGCCAAUAGUCAAUAUAGUGAAACGGAAGAAGAUACCCACGUCAUUAACAAUACAUCAAACAUAGAAACAUUGUCAUUAUGCGAUGACAAUACAAUACAAGUUUCAGAUGAAAAUGAAAAGUCGCAUUUUGCAGCAUUGAAAAGCUUUUCUUUAAAUUCUUUCACAAAUUACGAAAUAUGCAGUCUUUGUUUUUGUUGUUUUCACCAAGAUGAUGUCACUCAGAUGAAUGGUGAAAAGAUAAAUACAUUAAGGGAAAUGUUACGGCUUGUUUUACCAGUAAUAGAUUUAGACUUGUACAAAAAGCCUGUAAUUUGUGUCAACUGUGAGAAAAUGCUAACCAUCAGCUAUGACUUAAGACAAGUUUCAUUGGCAACAGAAGAAACAAUUAAAUGAUUGAGAAAAAUAAAGAAACAAGAAAUCCAAACCUCUACUUAAUCAUAGUAACGAAAUCACUAGCUGGUGAACGUGUUGUUGAGUACAGUUCGGAGGAAUCUACUAGUGAUUUUGAUCACAACUAUGGUUUAAGUCCGGGUUUGUUGGAAAUCAAACGAAAAAUAUGGGAAAACCAGGAAUUACAAAACGAAAAAGUUCUAUUGGUAUAUAACGGUUUAAGCAUAACAGCGGAUAAACCACAAGUGAAACCAUGGGAGAAGCGAAUUCCUGAGCCUUUGGUUUGUGAGGUGUAUGGUUAUUAUACUAAACAUUACAGGUCGUUCAAGCGACAUUGUAGCUAACAUCAAGACAGUAAAUGGCAGGAAGAUACUAGCCUUGAAUUUGAGCAAAACUAUGGACAUGAUAAAAACGUUUAUAACAACAUAAUUAUAACAGAUGUAAAAAAGAAAAAACCGAAAAAGCGAGUGUCUAAGUCUUUCGUUUGUGACAAGUGUAGUUAUUUCACCAAACGUACCCAUUCCUUCAAGCGACAUUUAAGCAAACACAAUAACAACAAACUACCAACGAAACGAGUUCCACGUCGAAUUCAACCAAAACCAUGGAAACGUGACCACUGUCCAGCAACAUAUGCACAUCGCGAUCGCUUGAUUUUACAUAUGCGUGAACACCAAACUACACACACCUGUCACGUAUGCGAGAAAACAUUCAAAUUUAAGUCUAAUUUACGAAAUCAUAUCAAAGGUGUACAUCUCAAGGAAUACCAGCAAUGUCAUUUGUGUGGGAAAGAAAUAUCGGCACCUGCUUUGCGACUUUGUCUCCUCAGCACAACCCCACCAAAAUCUACAAGUGUAACUUUUGCCCUAAAAAAUUAAUUCGACUCAGAGCCAUUAGGAGCCAUAUUCAGUCCAGACGUAAUUUACUCCGUUAACUUGCCAAUAUUGUGGAAGGACAAUUAAGUAUGCACAGUCAUUAGAGAAGCACAUACAACUGUUACAUCUGAAUCAAGGCGAAAAUAUAUGUGAUGUGUGUAAUAAACCCUUGUGGAAAAAAGAAAGUUUGUUGAAGCAUAAAAUUCGCUUGCAUGGGUAUACUCAAGAAAAUCGUGACGGAUAGCGAAUUCUAUUCACUAUUCAAUUCACUCAAUUGUUAUUUUUAAUAUACGUUUUGUUCAUA